GAGCUUUUUGCCCAGGUGUUUCCAGCAAGGCCCCAGGGGGGCCCCAGGGGCAACACCUGGGGGCACUGUGCAGGGAGGGCAUUUAUCGAGCAGCUCAGGCCUUCCUUAGCUUUUUGUGUGGCAGUUGCGGGGCUGUCUGCUGCCUGAUGUCCCACUUGGGCUCAAGCUUUUGGCUGUUUUUGUUUUGUGGUUACAUUUCCCCAUGGCUGUAGGGGCAGCCUGGCUUUUGGAUCUGCUCAGCUUUGCCUCCCUCGACCUCCCAGCUGCGUGGAUAAGGCUUCUCAGCUGUCUUGGCAAGGUGGAUUCUCCGUGGAAACUCUGAUAAUCGCCUGCGAGUGCCGGGAAGGUGUCAACGCCGAAUGCGGGGAAGCAUCGGGCAGAAGGAAGGGUUCGCUCGGGAGCUGGGAGGGACUGGUGAGUCAGCCAGGCCUUGAAGAUUGCAGGGCACGGAAUAUUAUCCUCAAACAAGGGUCUCAUCUGGAGAGCUCCAGGCACGCUGGCGAUGGGCAGGAGACGCGAUCUUACCCGCUUCUGCAUUCCGGACAAGCGGCGCCAACGUUUCAAGUGAGAAGCUGGCAUGACUCCAGCAACCAAAAAACCAAACCCGUGAAACGCAGAAGUGCGGUGCCCAAGGUCUGCAAAGUGCUUUGUCCUUGUGCUUCACGGAAGGGGUCACCCCAGACAGAGCUCUCCUCCUGCCCCACCACAAGCUGAUGGAGCCACUGCUCCACGGAGCCCUCCAGCCAUAAUAUCAGACAGCUGGGACCUGCUACGGACCUCCAGGGUGUUGAUACAGG
Molecule: long non-coding RNA, 797 nt
Filed under: Anser brachyrhynchus (Pink-footed goose)
Lineage: Eukaryota; Metazoa; Chordata; Aves; Anseriformes; Anatidae
Description: lncRNA (ENSABRG00000004535.1)
Source: RNAcentral